This 867-nucleotide long non-coding RNA is filed under the name Equus caballus (horse). RNAcentral describes it as "lncRNA (ENSECAG00000046872.1)". The record is from RNAcentral. Lineage: Eukaryota; Metazoa; Chordata; Mammalia; Perissodactyla; Equidae.
CCCCAAACCUCCCAGCCACACCUAACAGUUCAGCGUCAGUCAAGAGUAAAGACCCUAGAAUACAACCAUACUGUGUAAAACUCCAAACCUGCAUAAAGAACUUUCUCUUAACUAUUUCCCUUAGGAUAAGCAGAGGACUGAGAAGUGAGAGGAGUCUUAAAUGGAACACAAGAUGAAGUCGAGGAGCUCAUUGGUCACUGGCAGAGUGCAGCUGGUUGAAAACUAGCAGACAGAUCAGUUUCGGAUAGGGAACGAGCAGAUGGUAGAGCUCAUUGAAUUUCUUUCCCCAAGGACUGAAUUGAGGAAGGAGAAGAGGAAUGAGACAGAAAAGCCACUUUGUGUGGAAUAAAAGGCAGAUGAGCUGCCACUCACAUCAUCCCUGCCCUCAGCACAGGGUUAGACAACAGUGUGGACCCAGAGGGAGAAGGAACGUCAGCCCGGGAAGGGAGCGUGAGGCCUGUGCCUCUCCCUGAAGGUGUGCCAGAAGCUUGGCAAAAGAAAUCCCAUAUAGAAACAGUGGGAGCCUGGAGAUUGUCGGGGGAGAGUGAGGUCAUUGGAGAACCAUGAGUACUACUGAAGAAAGUAUAGAGCCGUGUUGAUUGGUGCCAUCUCACAUUUCUCUCUUUCACUCUCAGCUGGUGUGGCAUUUCAGUGAUGGUAUAAAGAGAAGAAAUGUGACUAAAUCAAAAAGGGAGAUGAUGAGGAUUGUCGAUGGAAGAAAAAGAGAAAGAAAGAAAGGAAGGAAGGAAUGAAGAAAAUGGAAGUGGGGUGGUCCCUCCUUGAAAAGAUGAAAGGACAAAAGCUAAAAGAGGCUCAACAAUUGUCUGAGGUCACAAUGGUGGUGAAGUGGGAGAGCCCCUAGGCAAA